UACAGAGGGGGCGAGCGUUAAUCGGAAUUACUGGGCGUAAAGCGCGCGUAGGUGGUUUGUUAAGUUGGAUGUGAAAGCCCCGGGCUCAACCUGGGAACUGCAUUCAAAACUGACAAGCUAGAGUAUGGUAGAGGGUGGUGGAAUUUCCUGUGUAGCGGUGAAAUGCGUAGAUAUAGGAAGGAACACCAGUGGCGAAGGCGACCACCUGGACUGAUACUGACACUGAGGUGCGAAAGCGUGGGGAGCAAACAGG
This 253-nucleotide ribosomal RNA is filed under the name uncultured bacterium. Its description in RNAcentral is "partial 16S ribosomal RNA". It matches the Rfam family "Bacterial small subunit ribosomal RNA", at positions 524 to 776 of the family's 1533-position model. The record is from RNAcentral.